This is a non-coding RNA of Camelina sativa (false flax), 1295 nucleotides long. NCBI's taxonomy places the organism in Eukaryota, Viridiplantae, Streptophyta, Magnoliopsida, Brassicales, Brassicaceae. The record is from RefSeq and is a predicted model, not a curated record.
UUAAAAACAAAAAAGUAAAACCUAAAAAGGGUUUUUCUCUCUAUGGUCUCUCUCGCCGUCUUCAAAUUCUUUUGCAGAGUUCAUCACAAAACAGCUCUUGAUCAGCGAAAUUAAACAUGAAUUCUCUCUCUGGUGGAUUCAGCGGGUUAUUCCUUGCCUCUUUUUCUUAUUUUUUCUUCUCAAUCUCUUUGUUCCUUCUAAACCCUAAUCUCUCUUUUGAUUCUACAUCAAAUCCAAUUCUUUUGUUCAUGACCAUUUCAUAGUCUUUGUUUCUGUCAACGAUGGCGGGUAUACAAGGCAAUGUGGUCUUUUGGGUGAAUUUGAUAUUAGAUUGAUGAGAACGUGGUGAGAGAGAUUAUUAAUCAUAGAUCACUUCGUCAUCCUAAUAUCACCCGCUUUAAGGAGGUGGUUUUGACAACAACGCAUAUCGCCAUUGCUAUGGAAUAUGCUGCUGGUGGUGAGCUAUUUGAGCGUAUAUGUACCGCUGGAAGGUUCAGUGAGGAUGAGGUGACCGCUCUUGCUUCUCUUUGUCAUAGUGGCAAGAUACUUUUUCCAGCAGCUUAUAUCGGGAGUUAGCUAUUGCCAUGCCAUGCAUAUAUGCCACAGAGAUUUGAAGCUUGAAAAUACCCUCUUGGAUGGAAGUCCUGCUCCACGUCUCAAGAUCUGUGAUUUUGGUUAUUCCAAGGUCUGGCAUCUAACCCCAGCAUGCACCUGAUCUAUUAAUUUCUUUUGUCGGAACAAGCUCUGUCUUUUGUUCUCUUUCCGUCCAUCUAACCCCAGCACGCACCUGACUUUAAAUCAUUUAGCGUUGCUGCUCAUUAUUUUGGAAGCUCGAGUGAAGUAUAUCCUCAUGAAAAUUUGUUUUUGUUUAGCUCUAAACACAAACCAGAGAUAGAGAGUGUUUCGUGAGGAAGUGAGGUUUCCGUAUGAACUUGAUGUGAAGAUACUAUUUUCAAUUGGUAAUGCAAAGGAACCAACCCGAAGGAUAAGUACCAUAUUUUUUUUCAAAAAAGGGUUAAUUAUAAGUUUUUUAGUAAUAUUGUAACAAUGGUGUGUGUGUUGGGUUUGCAUUGCAGGCAUACCUUAGUGAAGGGGUUGGAGCCAUUUGUGAGUUUGCUAGAAGAUGAGUGAGUGAGACACUCUGUUUUUUCCUUUUUCUUUUCACUCUAUAGUCUAUUAAAUCUUUUUAAUUGUAUCUUUUUGUUUGUUUGUAACAUUUAUAUCAAAUCUAAAUUAUAUCUGUUUCACAACAUUGAUAAAUUGGAUAUUGAAUGGUGGAUAUCAUGGUUUUCUUU